CGCUGAAGCUCAGCUUUUGUUGGGUGGAUGAGUGGCGAACGGGUGAGUAACACGUGAGUAACCUGCCCCCUUCUUUGGGAUAACGCCCGGAAACGGGUGCUAAUACUGGAUAUUCACUGAUCUUCGCAUGGGGGUUGGUGGAAAGGUUUUUCUGGUGGGGGAUGGGCUCGCGGCCUAUCAGCUUGUUGGUGGGGUGAUGGCCUACCAAGGCUUUGACGGGUAGCCGGCCUGAGAGGGUGACCGGUCACAUUGGGACUGAGAUACGGCCCAGACUCCUACGGGAGGCAGCAGUGGGGAAUAUUGCACAAUGGGCGGAAGCCUGAUGCAGCGACGCCGCGUGAGGGAUGGAGGCCUUCGGGUUGUAAACCUCUUUCGCUCAUGGUCAAGCCGCAACAGUGGUUGUGGUGAGGGUAGUGGGUAAAGAAGCGCCGGCUAACUACGUGCCAGCAGCCGCGGUAAUACGUAGGGCGCGAGCGUUGUCCGGAAUUAUUGGGCGUAAAGGGCUUGUAGGCGGUUGGUCGCGUCUGCCGUGAAAUCCUCUGGCUUAACUGGGGGCGUGCGGUGGGUACGGGCUGACUUGAGUGCGGUAGGGGAGACUGGAACUCCUGGUGUAGCGGUGGAAUGCGCAGAU
This 631-nucleotide ribosomal RNA is filed under the name uncultured Actinomycetes bacterium. Its description in RNAcentral is "bacterial SSU rRNA". It matches the Rfam family "Bacterial small subunit ribosomal RNA", at positions 65 to 695 of the family's 1533-position model. The record is from RNAcentral. Lineage: Bacteria; Bacillati; Actinomycetota; Actinomycetes.